Molecule: long non-coding RNA, 8085 nt
Filed under: Sorghum bicolor (sorghum)
Lineage: Eukaryota; Viridiplantae; Streptophyta; Magnoliopsida; Poales; Poaceae
Description: long non-coding RNA (SBIC_LNC018551)
Source: RNAcentral
UCCAGAUUUUCGUCACUGGAAAACAGUCAGAUUGAAAACUCGAUAUCUCACAAAUUAUAAUUGCUAUGACAGAGUUCUUGGUGUCCAAAGAAAGACAUUGAAGUCCUCUACAACUUUGUCCACAGGCUCAAAAAUUAUUAAAGCUUCUAAAAUGCCCUAACAUUACGAUGAACAGGGACUGCUCAGUCUGACGAGAAUUUCAGAACAAGAACGAAAUUGACUUCGAUAAUUUCUCAACUAAACCCAAUCCCAAAUAAGCGAUUUAAUCCGCAAAACUUGAUCAGAUAAAGGGGAUUAAUAUUUGGCUUCUCACCUAGAGAACCACAGCGAGCACGACGCAAAAACUCCCGGCGUCUACUCCUUCUUCUCCGCCUCUUCACCUUUCCAUCAUCUCUGAUCCAACUCACCACGAUCCUUGCCGCCACAAAGGCCUUGUUAUUCCGAUCUACGCCAAACAUGGCUAAGCCCUCAUGGACAGCAAAGGGACAUGGUGGAUCAAUGGGACAGCCAAGAUACGUGGUAGAACCUAACCGUAAUUUGCACGGGAGGAAGAACGACCACCACGGAUGACCGACGACGGCGGUGGCAAAACCCUAGGCCCUCUCCUCCUCUUCCCUCUUCUCCUUUCUCUCUUUCGUGAAUUUGGUAGGUAGGAUGGCGGCGGUUCGUGACCAGGUUGGGAGGAACAGGGAAAACACCGACUCGGAAAAGGGUCGGGCGUGGUACUGUACACCGUGGGUACUGUAGCACCGGCUACAGUAUUUUAUUUUUUAUUUUUUACCUUUUUUUUCUUUAUCUAUUUUCCCUCAGGCGUUAAGUCUACCCUCCUAAAAAAGAAUUCAUCCUCGAAUUCAGCUGCAUCUACGGUAUAAGCCAAGAUAACGGUAAACACACAUAUUUGCAUAAAACUCACCGGUGUCAAAUAGUUCAGGAUACUCCUUACGCAUCUGCUCCUCAAGCUCCCAAGUCGCUUCACGUUCAGGCUGAUUUGCCCAUAGAACUCUGACAUAUUUGAUAAUUCUUCUCCUUAGAACACGCUCUGAUGAUUCUAAAAUACGCACUGGCUCACACUUCACAGUCAAGUCCUGCUCCACAUGAAUAGGCUCUAAGUUGAUCUUAUGCUCGGGAUCUCGCAGAUACUUUCUCAACAUAGAAACAUGGAAGACAUUAUGAAUUCCCUUCAUAGACUCGGGCAACUGCAAGCGGUAAGCCAAGCUACCGACUCAGGCUAUGAUAUCAAAAGGUCCAAUGUACCUCGGGCUGAGCUUUCCCGUAGUACCAAACCGCACAACACCCUUAGUAGGCGAUACUCGAAGAAGAACUUGAUCACCCACUGCAAACUUGAGAUCUCGCCUUCGAACAUCUGCAUAGCUUUUCUGGCGGCUCUGAGCAGCCAACAUAUUCUGACGUAUUUCUGGUACCUUCUUAGUUGUCUGUUGAAUCCAAUCUGGACCAACUAAAGACCUCUCUCCUAGUGUUUCCCAACACAACGGUGAGAUACAUCUUCUACCAUACAAAGCCUCAUAUGGCGCCAUCUUUAUACUAGCUUGAUAGCUGUUAUUAUAAGCAAACUCAGCCAAAGCUAGAUGAUCCUCCCAACUUCCCCUCCAAGAAAGGACACAAGCACGCAACAUAUCCUCCAAAGUAUGGAUAGUGCGCUCAGACUGACCAUCAGUUUGAGGGUGAAAAGCAACACUCAUGUCAAGCUUCGUCCCUAAAGCGCUAUGCAAACUUUUCCAGAAAUUAGAAACAAAUUUGGAGUCUCGAUCAGAAACAAUAGACUUUGGUACUCCAUGUAGCCUCACUAUCUCCUUAAUAUACAAUGGGACCAAAUCUGCAGCAGAAUUCUUGGUGUUCAUUGGAAUAAAAUGAGCCAUCUUGGUGAGUCUAUCUACAACAACCCAAAUUGCAUCUUUACCCCGUGGAGAACGUGGCAAACCAACCACAAAGUCCAUAGUAAUAUAUUCCCACUUCCAUUCUGGAAUUUCUAGGGUUUUCGAUAAUCCUGCAGGCCUCUUGUGCUCAGCCUUCACUUGCUGGCACACACCGCAAGCUGCUACAUACUUGGAAACAUCGGCCUUCAUCCUCUUCCACCAAAAGCUCUGCUUCAGAUCUCUAUACAUCUUUGUCUCACCAGGAUGAACUGUGUAUGGAGUACGAUGAGCUUCUCUUAAGAUAUCUAUUAUUUUCACCUCUGAUUUCUGUGGCACACAAAGGCAUCCCCUAAAACAAACCGCAUCAUUCUGAUCAAUACUAAACUCACGAGGUUUGCCAUCACCAACACUCUUGCGAGCCUCCUGAAUCAAGCGAUCAUGCUUUUGAGCCUCACAGACCCUCUCAAGAAGGUUUGACUGAAUGAGCAACUGAGUCUCCUCUCUUGCUGCACCAAAAUAGCACAAGGAGACACCCAUACGAUUCAAAUCUGCAAUCAAGGGCAUUGCCACCUUAGGAACCCCAGUUCUACUAAGAGCAUCUGCCACCACAUUCGCCUUCCUAGGAUGAUACUGAAUAGUAAGGUCAUAAUUUUUUAUCAACUCAAGCCACCUACGCUGCCUCAACUUUAGCUCCUUCUGAGUAAAAAUAUAUUGAAGGCUCUUAUGAUCAGUAUAAAUAUCACAUGGCUCACCAUAUAGAUAAUGCCUCCAAGACUUCAGGGCAAACACCACAGCAGCCAACUCUAGAUCAUGGGUAGGAUAAUUUCUCUCAUGUUUCUUCAACUGCCUAGAGCCAUAAGCAAUCACUUUGCCAUCUUGCAUCAAUACACAACCAAGACCAACACAGGAUGCAUCUGUGUACACCGUGAAACACUUGCCACUCUCAGGUAAGGCCAAGAUAGGAGCAUUCACCAACUUAUCCUUUAAAGUAUGGAAACUGAUCUCACAAUCAUUGUUCCAUACAAAAGGAACACCCUUCUCAGUAAGCCUCGUCAUCGGCUUUGCAAUACUAGAGAAAUCCUGCACAAAACGCCGAUAAUAGCCAGCAAGACCAAGAAAACUGCGAAUCUCAGUCACUGUAGUAGGUCUCUGCCAAUUAACAACGCUAGCUACAUUCUUGGGAUCCACUGAAAUGCCAUGUUGAUUAAUAACAUGACCUAGAAAAGCCACUUCAGAGAGCCAAAAAAAGCGCACUUCUUCAAUUUCCCAUAAAAUUGAUUCUUCCGAAGGGCAUCAAGAACAAGGCUAAGAUGUAGCUCAUGCUCUUCCUCGGACUUAGAGUAAAUCAAGAUAUCGUCAAGGAAAACAACGACAAAAUCAUCCAAGUACUCAUGUAGCAUCCUAUUCAUAGCUUCCAUAAACACAGCAGGGGCAUUUGUUAGUCCAAAAGACAUAACAAUAUAUUCAUAAUGCCCAUACCUGGUGCUAAAAGUUGUCUUCUCUAUAUCUUCAUCCCGUAUUCUCAACUGAUGAUAGCCAGAAUUCAAGUCAAUCUUAGAGAAUACCUUGGCACCUCUCAAUUGCUCAAAGAGCACUUCAAUACACGGUAAAGGAUAUUUAUUCUUGAUGGUUACCCGAUUAAGAUCUCGAUAAUCCACACAUAACCUCUUAGUACCAUCCUUCUUCUCCACAAAUAGCAUAGGGAAAGCCCAAGGUGACUUGCUAGGUCUAAUAAAACCCUUAGCAAGAAGAUCAUCCAACUGCCUCUUCAACUCAACCUGCUCUUUUGGAGCCAUCCAAUAUGGAGUCUUAUGGAUUGGCUGCGUACCAGGAACCAACUUGAUUUCAAAAACUGCAUCACGCUCAGGAGGAAUACUUGGAAGUUCAGCAGGAAACACGUCAAGAUAAUGACACACCACUCGUAUGUCCUCCACUCUCAAGGCAACCUCACUACCAUCCACCAUAGAAAAGAGAAUUCCAGAUUUCCUAGUUCGACGAUCUGAGAACAACAGACAAAAUAGAGCAAGAGAGUACUUCAUAGCACUCCCAACAAAGAUCACCUCUCUACCAGAAGGUGCCUGCAAAGAUACUGUCUUCCAGAAACAAGAGAUAAUAGCCCGAUAUUGUGAAAGCCAAUCCAUGCCCAAAAUAACAUCAAAGGACUCAAGGGGAAUCACCACUAGAUUAGCAACAAAACCCUCCUCAGCUAGAAAAAUAUGGCAACCCGGACAAAUCAAAUGACUUGAUAUAGAGCCUUUAGCAGAACUAACCACAAUGGACUGACCAAUCUUCUGCAUAGAAAGGCCAGCACGAGCCACAAACCCUUUCGAGACAAACGAGAAACUAGCGCCAGAGUCAAAAAGAGCAUAUGCAUCAAAUGAAUCAACUAAUAUAGUACCUGUAACAACAUCUCCACACCUAGAGCCUGCUCCACAGUGGUGCGAAAAUCCACCAGUGGAAAGGCCCCCAAAGUGUGCCUGAUCGAUGGUUUCAAACCCUGACGAAACUGGAAUGCCUUCUCUACCUCAUUACGGGCCACAUGUGGAACAAAGCGAACAAUCUUGUUGAAGCCCACCUCAUACUCUGCCACUGUUUUCUUAUCCCAAAUAAGCGGUUUAAACCGCAAAACUUGAUCAGAUGAAGAGGAUUAAUAUUUGGCUUCUCACCUAGAGAACCACAGCGAGCACGACGCAAAAACUCUCGGUGUCUACUCCUUCUUCUCCGCCUCUUCACCUUUCCAUCAUCUCCGAUCCAACUCGCCACGAUCCUUGCCGCCACAAAGGCCUUGUUAUUCCGAUCUACGCCAAACAUGGCUAAGCCCUCAUGGACAGCAAAGGGACAUGGUGGAUCAAUGGGACAGCCAAGAUACGUGGUAGAACCUAACCGUAAUUUGCACGGGAGGAAGAACGACCACCACGGAUGACCGACGACGGUGGUGGCAAAACCCUAGGCCCUCUCCUCCUCUUCCCUCUUCUCCUUUCUCUCUUUCGUGAAUUUUGUAGGUAGGAUGGCGGCGGUUCGUGACCAGGUUGGGAGGAACACGGAAAACACCGACUCAGGGUAGGAGAAGGGUCGGGCGUGGUACUGUACACCGUGGGUACUGUAGCGACGACUACAGUAUUUUUAUUUUUUUUAUUUUUUACCUUUUUUUUCUUUAUCUAUUUUCCCUCAGGCGUUGCAGUUAAGAAACUAUUUUGGACGCACCCGAUGGUACUCCUAGGUCAAGGUGCUCAAGUGAAAGCCCGAUUUGGUCUGUUUGGAGAUAGUGCUAAUCUUGAUGCAAGAUAGAUGCACGGUUUGCAUGGAACAUACGAUAUGCUCAGAAAUCAAUUAGGACCUACCUGAUAUAAGUCCUUGAUAAUGUGUGUCAUAUGGAAUCUUGCUUUGGUUCGUUUAUAGAAAGUUUUAAUUUUGGUAGAAGAUAUGUGCACGGUUUACGCCUAAUGCACCAUAGGCUAAGAAACCAUUUUAGACGCACCCGAUGGUACUCGUAGUUGAAGAGGCUCAAGUGGAGGCUCGAUUUGGUCUGCUCGGAUAUAGUGUUAAUCUUUAUGCAAGAUAGUUGCACAGUUUGCAUGUAACGUACCAUAUGUUAAUAAAUCAAUUUGGACGCACCCAAUGGAACUCCUAGAUGAUGUGUGUCAUAUGGAAUCUCGCUUCGGUCUAUUUGGAGACAAUGUUAGUUUCAGUGCAAGAUAGGUGCAUAGUUUGUGCCUAAUGCACCAUAGUCUAAGAAACCAUUUUUGACGCACGUGUUUCUACUCCUAGAUGAAGAGGCUCAAGUGGAAGCUCGUUUCGGUCUAUUUGGAGACAGUGCUAGUCUUGAUGCAAGAUAGGUGCACGGUUUGCAUGGAACAUACCAUAUGCUUGGAAAUCAAUUUGGAUGCACCUGAUGGGACUCCUUGAUGACGUGUGUCAUAUGGAAUCUCGCUUUGGUCUAUUUAGAAACAGUGUUAGUUUCGGUGCAAAAUAUGUGCAUGGUUUGUGACUAAUGCACCAUAGUCUAAGAAACCAUUUUGGAAGCACCUGUUGGUACUUUGGUGAAGAGGCUCAAGUGGAAGCUCGGUUUGAUCUGUUUUGGAGAUAGUGCUAAUCUUGAUGCAAGAUAGGUGCAUGAUUUGCAAGGAACAUACCAUAUGCUUAGAAAUCAAUUUGGACGCACCCAAUGGAACUCCUAGAUGACGUGUGUCAUAAGGAAUCUUGCUUCCGUCCGUUUAUAGACAUUGUACGUUUUAGUGCAAGAUAGGUGCACAGUUUGCACCUAAUGCACCAUAGUCUAAGAAACCAUUUUGGACGCACUAUUUGGUACUCCUAGGUGAAGAGGCUCAAGUGGAAGCUUGGUUUGGUCAGUUUGGAGAUAGUGCUAAUCCUUAUGCAAGAUAGGCGCACGAUUUACAUGGAACAUGUCAUAUGCUCAUAAAUCAAUUUGGAUGCACCCGAUGGAACUCCUUGAUGACAUGUGUCAUAUGGAAUCUUGCUUCGGUCCAUUUGGAGACAUUGUUAGUUUCGGUGCAAGAUAGGUGCACAGUUUGCACCUAAUGCACCAUAGUCUAAGAAACCAUUUUGGACGCACUAUUUGGUACUCCUGGGUGAAGAGGCUCAAGUGCAAGCUUGGUUCGGUCAGUUUGGAGAUAGUGCUAAUCCUUAUGCAAGGUAGCUGCAUGGUUUGCAUGGAACAUACCAUAUGCUUGGAAAUCAAUUUGGAUGCACCCGAUGGAACUCCUUGAGGAUGUGUGUCAUAUGGAAUCUCACUUCGGUCCAUUUGGAGACAUUGUUAGUUUCGGUGGUGCAUAGUUUGCACCUAAUGCACCAUAGUCUAUGAAACCAUUUUGGACACACUUGUUGGUACUCCUAGGUGAAGGGUCUCAAGUGGAUACUCGAUUCGGUCUGUUUGGAGAUAGUGCUAAUCUUGAUGCAAGAUAGGUGCACGGUUUGCAUGGAACAUACCAAAUGCUUGGAAAUCAAUUUGGAUGCACAUGAUGGAACUCCAAGAUGACGUGUGUCAUACGAAAUCUUGCUUCGGUCUAUUUGGAGACAGUGUUAGUUUCGGUGCAAGAUAGGUGCAAGGUUUGCAUAUAAUGCAGCAUAGGCUAAGAAACCAUUUUGGACGCACCCGAUGGUACUCCUAGGUAAAAGGCUCAAGUGAAAGCUUGGUUUGGUCUAUUUGGAGAUAGUGCUAAUCUUGAUGCAAGAUAGAUGCACGGUCUGCAUGGAACGUACCAUAUGCUUAGAAAUUAAUUUGGACACACCCGAUAGAACUCCUUGAUGACGUGUGUCAUAUGGAAUCGCUUUGGUGUGCUUAGAGACAGUAUUAGUUUCGGUGCAAGAUAUGUGCACAGUUUGCGCCUAAUGCACCAAAGUCUAAAAAACCAUUUUGGAAGCACUUGUUGGUACUCCUAGGUGAAGAGGCUCAAGUGGAGGCUCGGUUCGGUCUGUUUAGAGAUAGUGCUAAUCUUGACACAAGAUAGGUGCACGAUUUGCAUUGAACAUACCCUAUGCUCAGAAAUCAAUUUGGACGCACAACAUGGAACUCCUAGAUGACAUGUGUCAUAUGGAAUCUCACUUCGAUCCAUUUAGAGAUAGUGUUAGUUUCAGUGCAAGAUAGGUGCAUGGUUUGCACCUAAUGCACCAUAGGUUAAGAAACCAUUUUGGACGCACCCGAUGGUACCCUAGGUCAAGGGGCUCAAGUGAAAGCUCGGUUUGGUCUGUUUGGAGAUAGUGCUAAUCUUGAUGCAAGAUAGAUGCAUGGUUUGCAUGGAACAUACGAUAUGCUCAGAAAUCAAUUAGGACCCACCUGAUAUAAGUCCUUGAUAAUGUGUGUCAUAUGGAAUCUUGCUUUGGUUCGUUUAGAGACAGUUUUAAUUUUGGUAGAAGAUAUGUGCACGGUUUACGCCUAAUGCACCACAGGCUAAGAAACCAUUUUAGACUCACCCAAUGGUACGAGUAGUUAAAGAGGCUCAAGUGGAGGCUCGAUUUGGUCUGCUCGGAUAUAGUGCUAAUCUUGAUGCAAGAUAGUUGCACAGUUUGCAUGGAACGUACCAUAUGUUAAUAAAUCAAUUUGGACGCACCCAAUGGAACUCCUAGAUGAUGUGUGUCAUAUGGAAUCUCGCUUCGGUCUAUUUGGGGACAAUGUUAGUUUCAGUGCAUGAUAGGUGUAUAGUUUGUGCCUAAUGGACCAUAGUCUAAGAAACCAUUUUUGAUGCACCUGUUU